AGCGUAGACGGACUGGCAAGUCUGAUGUGAAAGGCGGGGGCUCAACCCCUGGACUGCAUUGGAAACUGUUAGUCUUGAGUGCCGGAGAGGUAAGCGGAAUUCCUAGUGUAGCGGUGAAAUGCGUAGAUAUUAGGAGGAACACCAGUGGCGAAGGCGGCUUACUGGACGGUAACUGACGUUGAGGCUCGAAAGCGCGGGGAGCAACA
RNAcentral lists this ribosomal RNA (206 nucleotides) under uncultured bacterium. Its description in RNAcentral is "partial 16S ribosomal RNA". It matches the Rfam family "Bacterial small subunit ribosomal RNA", at positions 568 to 773 of the family's 1533-position model. The record is from RNAcentral.